This is a non-coding RNA of Mandrillus leucophaeus (drill), 469 nucleotides long. The record is from the annotation of a RefSeq genome assembly. Lineage: Eukaryota; Metazoa; Chordata; Mammalia; Primates; Cercopithecidae.
ACACAGCAUGGACAUGAGGGUCCCCGCUCAGCUCCUGGGGCUCCUUCUGCUCUGGCUCCCAGGUGCCAGAUGUGACAUCCAGAUGACCCAGUCUCCAUCUUCCCUGUCUGCAUCUGUAGGAGACAGAGUCACCAUCUCCUGCAGGGCCAGUCAGAGUGUUGGCAGCAGCUUAGCCUGGUACCAGCAGAAACCUGGGCAGGCUCCCAGGCUCCUCGUCUAUUAUGCAUCCAGCAGGGCCACUGGCAUCCCAGACAGGUUCAGUGGCAGUGGGUCUGGGACAGACUUCACUCUCACCAUCAGCAGCCUGGAUCCUGAAGAUGUUGGAGUUUAUUACUGUCAGAAGUACAAUGACUGGCCUCCCACAGUGAUUCAACAUGAAACAAAAACCUUGACAAGACCAUCAGUGUUUAUUAGAUUACACCAGCUGCUUCCUUUACAGACAGUUAGUGGGGUGGCCACUCAGUUUUAG